Molecule: RNA transcript, 4873 nt
Organism: Mus musculus (house mouse)
Lineage: Eukaryota; Metazoa; Chordata; Mammalia; Rodentia; Muridae
Gene name: predicted gene, 40847
Exons: 5
Source: RefSeq, a predicted model, not a curated record
CGAGGCUUGAGUGAGGGUCUCCCUUCGGGGGUCUUUCAAGGGCUCGCCCUCGAACCCCAGCACGUCCGGAAGGCAGAUGCAACGCAGCAGCCCACAGCCACUGACAGGCCAUGAUCCCACAUAGCCCUCCUUGCUGAGGCCUCCGCUUCCUGGCGGCGCGGUAGCGGCGGGCGACCCGAUUGGUGGUCAGGCCUGCGCCCGGCACUGCCGGGCGGUCCUCCGCGCCAUCCCCAGCCGGGCCCUCCCCUUUCCGCGGGAGGCGUCCGGGACAGCGGGUUGGUGGCGUGCAGUUCCCCUUGACUGUGCGCGCCCUCGUCUGGGCUCCUUUGCAGAGUACUCGGUAGCUGCAGCUCCCGGAGCACAGCAGACAGAGCUGCGGGCUGCGUGCGCCCCUGCUGCCACCGGACCUGCCGCGGUGGCUCCCGCGCCCCGCGGCGACUUCCGCACCCGCGCUUAUCUUUGUUUAAGUCCCCGAGCGGCGGCGGGGUCGGAGCCCGCGCCUUGGGCGACUGAGGCGGCCGCAGUUCGCGCCCCGGCGCCCUGGCGAUGCCGGACCAGAUCUCCGUGUCGGAAUUCGUGGCCGAGACCCUUGAGGACUACAAGGCGCCCACGGCCUCUAGCUUCACCAUGCGCACGGCCCAGUGCCGGGACACCGUGGCGGCCAUCGAGGAGGAUGCAGUGACUUAUGAUGAUGUACAUGUGAACUUCACUGGGGAAGAGUGGAAGUUGCUGGAUCCUUCCCAGAAGAGUCUCUACAAAGAUGUGAUGCUGGAGACCUACUGGAACCUCACUGUUAUAGGCUACACUUGGGAAACCCAUCAUAUUGAAGGACAUUGUCAAAGUUCGAGAAGAAAUGAAAGGUUUAGUCUCCACUGCCAGCUGCCAUGGGCAAGCAGAACAGCAAGCUGGGUCCUGAGGUAUUGCAGGCCCUGCGGAAACACAGGGAGUUCACCAAUCAUGAGCUUCAGGAGUGGUACAAGGGCUUCCUCAAUGACUGUCCUACUGGCUACCUGACCAUGGACAAUUUCAAGAUCUAGGCCAACUUCUUCCCCUACAGAGAUACCUCCAAGUUCGCUGAACAUGUCUUCCACAUGUUUGACACCAACAGCGACAGCACCAUCGACUUCCAAGUGUUCAUCAUUGCUCUUAGCAUGACCUCUCGGGGCAAGCUGGAACAGAAGGUCAAGUGGGCCUUCAGCAUGUCUGACCUAGACAGCAAUGGCUACAUCAGCUGCAGUGAAAUGCUGGAGUUAGUGCAGAUACCUGCACUUGACAGGGCCUGGCGCAUGGGGAGUGCAGGGAUCCAGGACCCCCAUCCCCAACCCCAUACACCAGGUCAUUCCUCUGCCCACUUGCUACCUGGUGUACUAAAGGACUGCAUGUCUUUGCAGAGAGUAACGAUAAAAGCCAAGCAUCUAUUGAUUGCUUGCUGGACAUCAGGCCCCAGCUGAGCUCAUCCAUAAGGUUUAUUCACACAAUUCUAUAAAAUGCGUCUUUUUUUUAAGCUCUAAUGAGAUCUGAGGCUCAGAUAGGUGAUUAAGAAUUGUCAAAGCAAGAACUGGUAAAAUGGCUCAGUGUUGAAGAACGCUUGAUGCCCAGCAUGAGGACAUGAGUUCUGAUCCCAACACCCACGGAAAAGUCAGGAGUGGCUGAGCAUGCCCGAAACCCUAGAACUAGGGGACAAGUGAGUCCCAGAAGCUUGCUGAGCAGGCACCCUAGCUAAAAUGGUAAGCCCCGGCCGGGUUCAGUGAGAGAGAAAAGGGAAUAUUGUGAACACCGGUAUUCCUGUUUGGCCUCUGCACAGAUGAGUGUUCAUCUGCACACACAUGUAUAACAUACACACACAUUAGCUGUCUAUAGGGCUUCCUAUAGAAAUCAGAACGACACAGUAAAGGAUGAGUCAGCAGUCAGUUCUUCACAGGAGCGAUGCUUAUGUGCACACUGUAUCCUUCCUGCUCCAUGCUCUAAACCAUCUCUGUAUUUGGUCCAGUGGGCUGACUCUGUGGGUAAAGGUACUUGCUUCCAAGCCUGGCAGCCUGGGUUCUAUCCCUAAGACCCACAUGGUAGGAAAAGAGAACCAGCUUCCACAAGUUGUCCACUGAAUUCCACAUGAGAUCAUCUCCCCCAAAUUAAUAAUUACAUACAUUCAUAAAAUAAGUAAAGUAGUUAUAUACAGUGCCUAAUACAAUGUCUAUAGAUGUUAAUAAUAAUUUGUAUUAUUUGGGAAAUAAGAAGAAACUGUCUGUGUACCACCAGUUUCAUUUUCUAGACUAUUUCCCACCUGUAGUUUGUUGGAUCUGAAGAUUCAGGACCCAUGGGUGGGCAGGGCUCAAUGUAUUUCCACUUUGACCUUCCCUCCAGGAUUUCCCAGCUCCCCACCAAAUAUUGUCCAUUCAGACAGAUGCUUUGCCACACAACCUCCCCUCUACUCCCAACCAAGGAGCCCUCCAUUCUUCCAUACCCCAGCUAUAUCCUGUGCUCUUGAACGUCACUUAAACUUUCCUGGCUCCCUUUGCCCAGCACCUUGUCUGUGAGACUUGUUCUGAUGAGAGAAGGGUCCUGACUCUGCCCUGUAUAUGCUCCUUGGUUAGCUGAGUGAGGACCAUAACCCACCCUCCGUCCUCCAGAGCACACUCACAGAUGUGCCUUUGCAGGCCAUCUACAAGAUGGUGUCCUCCAUGAUGAAGAUGCCUAAGGACGAGUCCACGCCCUAGAAGCGAACAGACAAGAUCUUCAGGAAGAUGAACACAAACAAUGAAGGCCAGGAAAGGGCACUGGGUCGCCCUAGAACUGGAGUUACCAAUGAUUGGGAACCGCCCUAUGGAUGCUGGGGACUUUAUCCAGGACCCUCUGCAAAAGCAGCAACUGCUCUUAACAGCUGAGCCAUCUCACCAGCCAUAAAGGACACUCUUUUUUUGCUUGUUGGUUUGUUUUUUAGAAACAAGGUUUCUCUGUGUAGCCCUGGCUGUCCUGGAACUUGCUGUUUAGACCAUGUUGGCUUCAAACUCAGAGAUCCACAAGUCUGCCUCCUGAGUACUGGGAUUAAAGAUGUGUACCACCACUGCUCAGCUCAGAAGAAUCUUACUGAAGAAUUAUCUAGAUCAGUGGUUCUCAACCUAUGGGUUCCAACCCCUUUCGGGGAUCAAAUGAGCUUUUCCCAGAGGUGGCAUAAGACCAACAGAAAACACAGAUAUUCAUAUUCAGAUUCAUAACAAUAGUGUAAUUACGGUUAUGAAGUAGCAGUGAAAAUAAUCUUAUGGUUGAGGGUCACUACAACACUAGGAACUGUAUUAAAGGGUCAGAGCAUUAGGAAGGCUGAGAACCAUCCAUCUAGAUCAUGGCAGCCUAUGAGCAUGCCUGUUGGGGGUUGUGUUCAUGGUUAAUUGAUGUGGGAAACCCCAUUACUAUUCUCUAGACAGGGGUCCUGAACAGUGUAAUAAAGGGAAAAGAAGUGUAUCAGAAAAAAAGUGUAGAGUCUCAUUAUGAGCCAGGUGUUCAUACCUCUAUUCUCUCUGCCCUGUGAGGUUUUAAAGCCUUGACUUCCUGAAGUGAUGAAUUGUAACCUAGAAGUAAACCAAAGAAAACUUCCUCCCUUAAGUUGCUUUUAAUCAGGGGAUUUUUAUCACAGUAACAGAAAUGUAAUUUGACCUGCAGCCAUAAUUUGUCCUGUCUCCCCAGUUGCCCCAGAUUGUGGUGGCUCUCGAGGCCUCUAGAUGGGGCUAUCAGCUUACAUCAGGCCACAGAGUUCAUUACCAAACCUAACCUCAGCACUAAUGCUUAAUCCCCACGAUCUAUACAUUGAAAGGAGACCCAGCUCUUACAAGUUGUCCUCUGACCACUUGUGUGCCUCAAAAUGGCAUAUGUCCCCAUAUGUGUGUGUGUGUGAGAGAGAGAGAGAGACAGAGACAGAGACAGGGGCACAGAGAGAGGGAGGGGGUUAGAGACUGGACAUUGUCCAUUUUCCAGAGGGUUCCAGACUUUAACCAGAGCACUGGCUAAUCCUAAGUCUCCCUCUUCCAUUCCUCAGGCAAAAUGUCCCUGGAAGAAUUCAACAAAGGUGCCAAGAGGGACCAUCCAUUGUCAGGUUGCUGCAGUGUGACCCCAGCACUGCUAGCCAGUUCUGAGGGGAAUGGGCUUUAAAACAGUUGUGAGAAACACAGGCUUGAUCUGCCAUCUUCAACUUUGCUUGCAAAAGUGGACUUCUCCGUGAUUUCUCCUGCUCUCUCAGGACCUGGGCCCAGGCAGCACAUCACACUCACCUGGUCUGGCUGGAUGCAGCUCCCUCCUCUAUCUGACCCAAUAGAUGUCCCUCCCCAUCCAGUCCAGGCUGGUUCCUUCCAAGGUUUCAAGUGUUCUCGGCUGUAGGGCUCCUUCUCUGCUCACAGAGGGUCUGGAGGCCCUUAAGGACACCUGACAGGACUUUUCAGUAUCUUACCGAGACCAGCUGAUUUAUUCUAUGAUCCCAGCUGACUUUGUGAGGAUGAAGAAGAUGGAGAACAGACAGGCAAGCCCUUCCUCUGCAUGGCUCCACCUAGCCUUUUUCAUUUUCUCUGACCAAAGCUGCUUGCAUGUAUAUACUGCGGUAUCCUUACUUUUAAUAUAUAAGUUUUGUAUAAAGUGAGAAGGUUCAGCCCCUGUAUUUAAAGCCUCUGACUGCCUUUAAGGCAUGGUCCCCUGUGGCCUGUGAUUCUCCCCACCCCCCAAGUCUGACUGUGCUGUGGUAUUUAUGUAUUCAUUUGCCUAAUUACACAGGAGAUACAUGCAUGCCCAAGGCUGUGGACAUCUGCCCUCCGUCCUGCAAACACAGGUGUUCCUGUGUGCUCCAUCCUUCCUCUCCGUUGACCUGGCAUAUUAAAAUGAUCAAAUAAACCAA